Molecule: long non-coding RNA, 580 nt
Filed under: Phasianus colchicus (ring-necked pheasant)
Lineage: Eukaryota; Metazoa; Chordata; Aves; Galliformes; Phasianidae
Description: lncRNA (ENSPCLG00000008609.1)
Source: RNAcentral
AUGGAGCUGUGCAGGACCCAUCACCAGGCGGACGUUUCCAGAUGUUUUUUCACCCUUUCUUCCUCCAGAGCUACUGAGGCAGCUCAGCCCGCCCAGCAAUACCAGGGCUGGGCUGGAGCAGACACUGAGGCCAACUGCAGUCCAUUGAAUGCAACUGGGAUGGAUCCACCAAUGGAAGAGUUCCUGCAGCACCGAUGGACACCCAUCGUGCCCACCAUCACAAAAAGCUAUGAGACAGAGCUUCUCCAGGAGCACUGGCAAAACCUUACACUGAGGACUAGUUCUAAUUUGUGGAGGAUGUGGAAGAGAAGGUAAGGAUGUCCAAGCAUGUCCUUUUUUUUUUUUAACCAACGUCACCAUAGAAUCAUGGAAUCACAGAGCCAUAGUCUCACCUACGUCAGCCCGUUUCUCCAAUAUGAGCAGUCUAUUCUAUAUGGGAAGCUGCUGGAGUCACCAGUGCACAGGAGGAAGCAGCAGCCCUCAUACAAAGCUGCUGUUGGGGUUUGGGUUUUGUGUUUUGGGCAGCUCUGCCAGCUGUUCUCUUUGUCAUUGGAAAUAAAGGUAAAUAAUCCAAGGCGCA